GGGCGCGCGCGAGGAGGCCCCCGAGCCGCGGUCACGUGUGCCGGCCCCGCCGCGCCUGCGGAACCCGACUUUCUGUUUCCCUCUAGCUGCGCGCACUUCCGCAAAGAAGGGCUCGCUCUCCGAGUCCAGGAGGUCGGGGGUCGCGACGUGGCCCCUGCCCUUGGGGCUCCCUUUCCCUUAGUUUGCGCGCCCGCCGCCUGCUGUCCCCUCGACCCGCUCGGUUGCGAGGCCCCUGGCUAGGAAAUUAUUGCAACGGCCGCCUGAGCCUGGAAGGUUUUGGUGCCUUUUCUUAAGGUGACUUUUGACCUUCUGCUCUCCCAGGACCUCGCCUAUAACCGACGUGCACCCCGCCCUCGCGCUCAGCCUUCAGGGCGUUUUCUGACCCGUGCGUGAGCUUUGGUUUGAGGCGAAAGAACUGGAGUCGUGGUCCACCUGCCAUGCGAUCGUUAAUGUCUCGCUCCGAGUGCGAUCCCGCCCGAGCUGCCUUACGAUCUCGGUAGUGCUGACAUCCGUGAGUGGCAAAGAGGGUGAGGUCAUGGUGAAAAUCCCCCUCAGCCGGACGCUGAUGCAGAUUCUUCCCCACGAGGAAGCAGAUAAGCAAACAGACGGCGCGGCAGCGGGCAAAUUUUAGGUUUCCUGCCAGAUUACAGAGGAUGUGACCAACGAGAGACUUUUUUUUUCUUCUAACAGCUGAUUGAGGCCAGGACACCUGAAAGGCCUGCCUGGAGAGAAGCGACAAGUGACAGCAGGGUUGGCAGGAUGACUGCUAGCAGAGACUCCAGAAGCUGACUUCUGUUUCAUUCUUAGUACGGUGUUUAGUUCCAAGCGGAAAAAGCCAAAGGCCGGUCAGGUUUUGGCAGCCUGACGCUCCCUGGUUUGAGCUCGUGUAGCUCAGAAACUUCCUGUAUGAUAGGGAGUUGGCCUGAGAGCCUCUGAGAAAGAUCCACCAGCUGCUGAUGACCAGCUGAGACCUCAGCUCAGCGGAAGGCAGAAGCCUGUCCUCUUUUGAAGACACACCCCAGAACGCUAUCAACGCGUAUAUCUUGCCUGCCGCAUCGGUCCUGCUUCUGGGAAAUCUGUGUAACACCAUGAACAAGGCUGAGUCUGUACACCUGAUAUUCUUUCGGAGACACUGAAAACACCCUGCUCAUUCCAUCGCCUUUAUUUUCCCUACCACUACCGCUUUUAAAGUCAGAGACACUUUUUAUGUUUUACUGUCUUUAAAUGUCCUUUACCAGAAAAAAGCAAGGAUGCUUCAUGAAUCUAAAUUUUAUUUCUCCAGGGAAGUUCAAGUUGGCAUUCUGAAUUUAUUCCUGCAUGUCAAAAUAGCCUGCUCCCAAGGUGGUGGCAGCAGUUUUCUUUCCCUAGAAUGCUGGACUAGCAGGCUUGGACCUGCUGCUCCCGGCAACCACACUCUUGGCCGGCUGGCUCCGGCUGUAGGGUAGCAUCACAUGUCAUGGCCUGCAGAGCUGGGCUUUGCCUCCCUGGAAAGUGCCAGGAAGCACCAGCUGGUUGAGUCUAUCAUCGGACAGUAAGAGCUCACCUAGGGGUUCUGAGAAAUGAUCCAGUGGCCCAUAUGGCCUUCGUCAGGCUAUAGCAGACUGCCUCCCAGAGCAAAUAAUGUCAUCAACUUGUCUUUCUCCACAUUCCUGUGUCAGCUGCUAAAAAGAGGACAGGCGAGCUCAUGGAAGAAUUCAGGGGAAGUCUGCACCUUCUGAGUCAGAAUGACACCCUGGGGGAUUUAGAAGAUUCUCCUGGCUCUGCUGGACCCCAGCAAGGAGAUAAGAGGAAGAAAUAAAAGCCAGGAGAAGUGG
Long non-coding RNA from Chinchilla lanigera (long-tailed chinchilla), 1814 nucleotides. RefSeq lists it as uncharacterized. NCBI's taxonomy places the organism in Eukaryota, Metazoa, Chordata, Mammalia, Rodentia, Chinchillidae. The record is from RefSeq and is a predicted model, not a curated record. The transcript has 2 exons.